ACUUAGCGUGAAACAACAACAAGCCUCCGGAGACGAUCUCUUAAUCUCUUCCCGGUGAGGUGGGAACCCAUCUUCAGGGUCGGAUUUAAAAGAACAAUGGAAUGUCUCACUUCGCUUAAACCAUAAUAAAACUUGUCCUUUUCCCCCAUCUCCCUGUUGGGUGUUGGCUUUUAACUCUUUCCAAGCUGUUUUUGAGAAGGACUGUUUUCUAGAUGCAAAGGUAUCUUACUGCUCGUUAAACGUCUGUGACGUUUGUUGUCUUUUAGAAAAGGCAAGUUACAGGAGUGCUUCUUGUAUUUCAAACAUGACGACGGCAACAAGGCAGUUUAAUGGAAGUAGAUUUGGUAAUUUCGGUACUAGGUGAUGACGUUUGAUGAAUGCAUCUUAUUUUUACCGAGUGCUUUUGCCAAGACCAUUUGGCAUCCUGAUAUUUGAGCCGAACUAAACUGUUGGGUACUUUUUUUAAGUGAGUGGAAAGAGUCCUAAUGGGUAAUUUCUCACACCUGAGUGUUAAAACGUUCUUGAGUCAGUUGCUACCCUUUAAAAGUUAAAAUUCAUCUUGUUAUUUAAAAAGACAGAAUUAUAUAGUAUUUCAAAUAGUAAUCGAAAAAGUUUUAUAAAGAAAUAUUUUAAUAGAACAGUUGUUCCGGAAGUUACUUUCCAUAGUGUAAAUAGUGAAGUAGGACUGCCCGUGAUGGGCGAUGAAGAGGGGCCAUAUUUGUUGCAUUUGUUGCAAGUAUAAAGUCGAGAUGUGCUUAAAAACGGAACGGGAUUAAAAAAACAGUCCAACGAAAACCGCAGUUUUCUGCAUACUCAUUUAAAAAUACUUGAGGUAAUUUACCAGAUUAUAAUUAGUGUGGUUGCUGAUGAUUCUGAAUAAAUACAACUUUUUUCCCCCAGAAGGUGUGCCAUUUUGAAGAUGGAGACAAUAAAGAUUUAUCUUUAAAAAUAAAGGAGAGUCCCUGGGAAAUUCUGUAUUUUAUAUCUCAAGAAUGUGGAUCCCCAGAUGGAGUGAAAUAACCAAUACCACAGACAUUGUUGAAGCAUUUACAUCCAGUCAGCUUGAAGAGUUUGAAAUGGACUACUGAGAAAUCAAGAUGGCAUCCCACUAUGGGGAAUUGAGGAAAAUGGAUUAAAGCCUGAAUGCUGUGAUGUUAUACAACCGACACAGGGUUCUUUUUAUGUGGAUUCCAUGAAAUGAACGAUUCUUACCCAACACAAAUGGACAGUGGGAUUUCCUUUCUAAGGACUUCUUACAUAUUAUGUGCAUUUUAACAUCUGGAGAUGUUACAUUUAUUCAAAUACUAGUUUGUAUUCCUGGAAUUUCUUACAAUUUUGAUCUGACUGAUCUUAUGGAAUGUUAACUUCAAUAAAAUCUCUAAAACUU
Molecule: long non-coding RNA, 1387 nt
Organism: Arvicola amphibius (Eurasian water vole)
Lineage: Eukaryota; Metazoa; Chordata; Mammalia; Rodentia; Cricetidae
Exons: 5
Source: RefSeq, a predicted model, not a curated record